GGGGUAUUAGUUACAAUGGUAUAACACUAUUUUUGCACGAUAGAGUUUAGGGUUCGAUUCCCUAAUACUCCA
This is a transfer RNA of Wallemia ichthyophaga EXF-994, 72 nucleotides long. It matches the Rfam family "tRNA". From Rfam's summary of the family: Transfer RNA (tRNA) molecules are approximately 80 nucleotides in length. Their secondary structure includes four short double-helical elements and three loops (D, anti-codon, and T loops). The record is from Rfam. NCBI's taxonomy places the organism in Eukaryota, Fungi, Basidiomycota, Wallemiomycetes, Wallemiales, Wallemiaceae.